ACGGAAGGCAGCAGUGAGGAAUAUUGGUCAAUGGGCGAGAGCCUGAACCAGCCAUGUCGCGUGGAGGAAUAAGGAUCUAUGGUUCGUAAACUCCUUUUGCGGGGGGAUAAAGUGCGGGACGCGUCCCGUUUUGUAGGUACCCCGCGAAUAAGCAUCGGCUAACUCCGUGCCAGCAGCCGCGGUAAUACGGAGGAUGCGAGCGUUAUCCGGAUUUAUUGGGUUUAAAGGGUGCGUAGGCGGGAUGUUAAGUCAGCGGUGAAAGUUUGCGGCUCAACCGUAAAAUUGCCGUUGAAACUGGCGUUCUUGAGUGUAAACGAGGUAGGCGGAAUGUAACGUGUAGCGGUGAAAUGCUUAGAUAUGUUACAGAACCCCGAUUGCGAAGGCAGCUUACCAGCAUACAACUGACGCUGAGGCACGAAAGCGUGGGUAUCAAACAGGAUUAGAUACCCUGGUA
This 454-nucleotide ribosomal RNA is filed under the name uncultured Porphyromonadaceae bacterium. Its description in RNAcentral is "partial 16S ribosomal RNA". It matches the Rfam family "Bacterial small subunit ribosomal RNA", at positions 341 to 792 of the family's 1533-position model. Lineage: Bacteria; Pseudomonadati; Bacteroidota; Bacteroidia; Bacteroidales; Porphyromonadaceae. The record is from RNAcentral.